GGAUUGCCCCAGUAACGGCGAGUGAAGCGGCAACAGCUCAAAUUUGAAAUCUGGCACCCCCCGGGGGGCCCGAGUUGUAAUUUGCAGAGGAUGCUUCUGGCGCGGCGCCUUCCGAGUUCCCUGGAACGGGACGCCACAGAGGGUGAGAGCCCCGUCUGGUCGGACGCCCAGCCUGUGUGAAGCUCCUUCGACGAGUCGAGUAGUUUGGGAAUGCUGCUCUAAAUGGGAGGUAUAUGUCUUCUAAAGCUAAAUACCGGCCAGAGACCGAUAGCGCACAAGUAGAGUGAUCGAAAGAUGAAAAGCACUUUGAAAAGAGGGUUAAACAGUACGUGAAAUUGUUGAAAGGGAAGCGCUCGUCGCCAGACCUGCGCCCGGUGGAUCACCCGGCGUUCUCGCCGGCGCACUCCGCCGGGCGCAGGCCAGCAUCGGUUCGCCGCGGGGGACAAAGGCUCCGGGAACGUGGCUCCUCCGGGAGUGUUAUAGCCCGCCGCGCAAUGCCCUGGGGCGGACCGAGGUUCGCGCUCCGCAAGGAUGCUGGCGUAAUGGCGACCAGCGACCCGUCUUGAAACACGGACCAAGGAGUCGUCCUCGUAUGCGAGUGUUCGGGUGUCAAACCCCUACGCGCAAUGAAAGUGAACGCAGGUGAGAGCUCCGGCGCAUCAUCGACCGAUCCUGAUGUUCUCGGAUGGAUUUGAGUAAGAGCAUACGGGGCCGGACCCGAAAGAAGGUGAACUAUGCCUGUUUAGGGUGAAGCCAGAGGAAACUCUGGUGGAGGCUCGCAGCGGUUCUGACGUGCAAAUCGAUCGUCAAAAAUGGGCAUGGGGGCGAAAGA
Molecule: ribosomal RNA, 832 nt
Filed under: Ophiocordyceps sp. TNS F18495
Lineage: Eukaryota; Fungi; Ascomycota; Sordariomycetes; Hypocreales; Ophiocordycipitaceae
Description: eukaryotic LSU rRNA
Rfam family: Eukaryotic large subunit ribosomal RNA
Source: RNAcentral